GUGUCAGCAGCCGCGGUAAUACGUAGGUGACGAGCGUUAUCCGGAUUUACUGGGCGUAAAGCGCUUGUAGGUGGCUUUGUAAGUUGGGCGUGAAAACUCUGGGCUUAACCCAGAGACGCCGUCCAAUACUGCGAGGCUCGAGGAUGUCAGAGGAAGGUGGAAUUCCUGGUGUAGUGGUGAAAUGCGUAGAUAUCAGGAGGAACACCCGUGGCGAAGGCGGCCUUCUGGGGCAUUCCUGACACUGAGAAGCGAAAGCUAGGGGAGCAAACAGGAUUAGAAACCCUGGUAGUCC
Molecule: ribosomal RNA, 292 nt
Filed under: uncultured bacterium
Lineage: Bacteria
Description: partial 16S ribosomal RNA
Rfam family: Bacterial small subunit ribosomal RNA
Source: RNAcentral